RNAcentral lists this ribosomal RNA (460 nucleotides) under uncultured bacterium. RNAcentral describes it as "partial 16S ribosomal RNA". It matches the Rfam family "Bacterial small subunit ribosomal RNA", at positions 338 to 795 of the family's 1533-position model. The record is from RNAcentral.
CCUACGGGAGGCAGCAGUGAGGAAUAUUGGUCAAUGGGCGCGAGCCUGAACCAGCCAAGUAGCGUGAAGGAUGACUGCACUACGGGUUGUAAACUUCUGUUAUAAAGGAAUAAAGUGAGGCACGUGUGCAUUUUUGUAUGGACUGUAUGAAUAAGGAUAGGCUAACUCCGUGCCAGCAGCCGCGGUAAUACGGAGGAUCCGAUCGUUAUCCGGAUUUAUUGGGUUUAAAGGGAGCGUAGAUGGGUUGUUAAGUCAGUUGUGAAAGUUUGCGGGUCAACCGUAAAAUUGCAAUUGAUACUGGCAGCCUUGAGUACAGUUGAGGUAGGCGGAAUUCGUGGUGUAGCGGUGAAAUGCUUAGAUAUCACGAAGAACUCCGAUUGCGAAGGCAGCUUACUAAACUGCCACUGACAUUGAUGCUCGAAAGUGUGGGUAUCAAACAGGAUUAGAUACCCGGGUAGUC